UGUUUUGUUUUUGAAUGCAUGCAAGCAUGAUUCCGCCCUUUAAUUGUUAAUUGCAUGCUAUAGAUGUUAUUCAAAUGAACAUGUUUUCACAAAAUAAUCCUUCACCAUCUUGGCUACAGUUGAUGAAGAAGGCCUUGACUUGUCUAGACUUGUCUAUAGUAGAGAUGAUAUGGUAGUGUUAACUGUUUAGAAUAUAAUGAUGCUUAAAACCCAAAAGGUUGCAAGGUAGUGACUAAUCCCAACUAAGUUGUGAUACCUCUAAAACAUAAGUUAUGAGUUGGUGAAAAAUGGAUGCUUUGGAUUGUUAGAUCCGGAUCCAAUACCUUCUCAUUAAAAUUGUAUAGAGGCGAAAUGUUCGAAUCUUUAUUCUUUUGGAAAGAAGAAAGAAUCACAAAGUUGUUGAGGUUAAUUCACUUAGAUAUUGGUGGCACUUGACCACAACAUAAUACUACUCAUGUUGGAUGACAUUCACCGAAGAUCGCUCCCAGUUGGACUAUAGUUUAUUUUGAAUAAACACAAGUCCGAAUACUUUGCAAAAGGUUUCAAAGAAU
RNAcentral lists this long non-coding RNA (551 nucleotides) under Malus domestica (apple). RNAcentral's name for it is "long non-coding RNA (MDOM_LNC008404)". Lineage: Eukaryota; Viridiplantae; Streptophyta; Magnoliopsida; Rosales; Rosaceae. The record is from RNAcentral.